Trypanosoma cruzi strain CL Brener is the source of this 55-nucleotide small nucleolar RNA. It matches the Rfam family "Trypanosomatid snoRNA TB11Cs4H1", at positions 18 to 72 of the family's 72-position model. NCBI's taxonomy places the organism in Eukaryota, Euglenozoa, Kinetoplastea, Trypanosomatida, Trypanosomatidae. The record is from Rfam.
GCGCCCUGCCUGUGCAAACGGUUGGUGGCGGGCCCGCCCGAAAGCGCAAGAGAGA